GGUACGCGCUCGAUGUGAACAUGGAGAGGGCCGAGGACGUGGUGACGCACCAGCCGCUGCUCGAGGUCGAGAAAGGUGAAGAAUAAGUAUGUCUUGAAGAAGAUCCAACUAGCGCGCCGUUGAUCAUCACACCAAGAGGUCUCCUGAACAACCUAUGUUCCCUCUGUGUCAUGGGGCAUAUCAGUAUUUAGCUAGAAUUUUUGCUAAAAGAUGGUUUAACCUUUCGACGAGCAUGCAAAAUUCAUGACUUUGUUCAUACGGAUGGAGCUCAUUGCAAAAGUAAGGUGCCCUUACAUUGUGGAAUAUGUAUUGGAGAAGGUGAGUAUGGUCCUCGCUUCUUCUAUAUGUGCAUAUUGGCAGGGUCUAGAGAGCUAUCUUUGCUCUUGUGCCCUCCCUUCAUGUUUCACUGAUUCAGUUGAAAUAUUUGUAUGAUCCUGAAUGAAUUCUUUUGUUGUUGUUAUCAGGGUUGCUAUUUGUGCUUUGUGAUCGGCUAAUGCAGGGGAGGAGACAUCUAUGUAACUUGUGAAGUAAACUCUCAAUUGUAUUUGAACCUGCAACGAAAUUAUGGUUAUUUUCCAUUGUACAGGUUAGAGGCCAUAAAAGGUUUAACACCAAGUACUUCUUGGAAGAGGUGGUUAAUUCGUCUGUAACAUGUGAUGUUCAGUAGCUGGAGUUUCAUUAUUGAAUUUUUUUACUCCUUGUUGUGUUCAUUUUAUGCAAAGAAACUCUGUGUAUGACUUGUGCAGCUCCUGAUAGCACUUGACUACUUCCAUGCUAAUCAUGUCCUUCAUCGCUAUGUGAAGGUUGCUAUACCCAUAACCUUUAUUUAUUUCCUACUGAAAAAACAGUUUAGCACCAUGUAUUGUAUUGUUUUUCAGUGUUUCAAUAUAUUUCUUACAAAUGACAAAAAUAUACGGCUCAUCGAUGAGAGAAAAAUACCUGGACUAUGAAGUACUUAAAAUUGCUGAUGACAAUAUCUUAUGUUCAGAAUUUGUUGUUUGAAACAGAUGAUUUUGGACUGGUUAAACAAAGCACUGUGUUUCUUUCUGAAGCUUGUAGGAAGUCCCAUUUACAUCAUUACAUCUUGAACUUCUUGCGGAUAUUUCAUAUGGUUCCAAGUCCAGAAUAUGGUCCCUAGGCUACUGGAUCUAUGAGCUGGCUGCACUGAAGCAUUCAUUCAAAGUAUUUAUCAUCGUUGGUGUCGUGACGUUGAAGUUAUCAGUAAGUAAUUGUUGAGGUAUGCUCUUGUUUUCUUGGGUCCAUUUGCCUGGGCAUUGACGGUUUGCUUGAACAAUGAUCUGCUCUUUGCCUGCAUGCGUGCGCAUCCUACCUGUUAAGUCAGCACUUUCUCCAUGUAGUUGAUUUUCAGUCUUGUUAAAAUAGUUCACCUUUUGCCAUCUAGAGAUGACGCUAUUUGUAGUGACACGUAAUUUGUUUCUGACCAACUAACUUGAUUUUCCCCAGUUUCAGUUUUGCGGCUCCUUCAAAGCAAAUGUGCUGUAAGAAUUACUUAUGUAAGCUCGUUUAGUUUCUGGUGCUUGUAAUACUUCGGUCAUCUACAUUAUUGCUGCCAUUUAUUUAAAUUUCUGCGGUGGGGCCAUUGGCAUUAUUUACUUAAUCUAGGAGGCUAAUCUAACUUUGUAAUCAGUUGUCUUUGUGCAGGCUAGCAAACCUGCAUUGAAUGGCUACGAUCAUACAAUAUAUUCUAAGUUUAAUUCUCACUUUCUCAAAAGCAAUCGCAAAAGUAAGAAGGUUGUAUCAGAAUUCAGAAGUACUGCUAUCCAUGUGCAAGACAUGCAUUAUCACUGCUAUGAGGAGCUUAUGAAAGCCUUAUUUGAUUAGGAUUACAACAGAAAGAUAUGUAUAUAUGCAAGACAACAUUAGUUCAAAACUCAGUACAACUAUCCUUCUGAAUUUCUUGUAUGCAAGCUUUAUUUUCUA
This is a long non-coding RNA of Lolium rigidum, 1941 nucleotides long. RefSeq lists it as uncharacterized. The transcript is spliced from 5 exons. The record is from RefSeq and is a predicted model, not a curated record. NCBI's taxonomy places the organism in Eukaryota, Viridiplantae, Streptophyta, Magnoliopsida, Poales, Poaceae.